Molecule: ribosomal RNA, 1027 nt
Filed under: Nectria cinnabarina
Lineage: Eukaryota; Fungi; Ascomycota; Sordariomycetes; Hypocreales; Nectriaceae
Description: SSU rRNA
Rfam family: Eukaryotic small subunit ribosomal RNA
Source: RNAcentral
AUUAUACAGCGAAACUGCGAAUGGCUCAUUAUAUAAGUUAUCGUUUAUUUGAUAGUACCUUACUACUUGGAUAACCGUGGUAAUUCUAGAGCUAAUACAUGCUAAAAAUCCCGACUUCGGAAGGGAUGUAUUUAUUAGAUUAAAAACCAAUGCCCUUCGGGGCUCCUUGGUGAUUCAUGAUAACUUCUCGAAUCGCAUGGCCUUGCGCCGGCGAUGGUUCAUUCAAAUUUCUUCCCUAUCAACUUUCGAUGUUUGGGUAUUGGCCAAACAUGGUUGCAACGGGUAACGGAGGGUUAGGGCUCGACCCCGGAGAAGGAGCCUGAGAAACGGCUACUACAUCCAAGGAAGGCAGCAGGCGCGCAAAUUACCCAAUCCCGACACGGGGAGGUAGUGACAAUAAAUACUGAUACAGGGCUCUUUUGGGUCUUGUAAUUGGAAUGAGUACAAUUUAAAUCCCUUAACGAGGAACAAUUGGAGGGCAAGUCUGGUGCCAGCAGCCGCGGUAAUUCCAGCUCCAAUAGCGUAUAUUAAAGUUGUUGUGGUUAAAAAGCUCGUAGUUGAACCUUGGGCCUGGCUGGCCGGUCCGCCUCACCGCGUGUACUGGUCCGGCCGGGCCUUUCCCUCUGUGGAACCCCAUGCCCUUCACUGGGUGUGGCGGGGAAACAGGACUUUUACUUUGAAAAAAUUAGAGUGCUCCAGGCAGGCCUAUGCUCGAAUACAUUAGCAUGGAAUAAUAGAAUAGGACGUGUGGUUCUAUUUUGUUGGUUUCUAGGACCGCCGUAAUGAUUAAUAGGGACAGUCGGGGGCAUCAGUAUUCCGUUGUCAGAGGUGAAAUUCUUGGAUUUACGGAAGACUAACUACUGCGAAAGCAUUUGCCAAGGAUGUUUUCAUUAAUCAGGAACGAAAGUUAGGGGAUCGAAGACGAUCAGAUACCGUCGUAGUCUUAACCAUAAACUAUGCCGACUAGGGAUCGGACGAUGUUAUUUUUUGACUCGUUCGGCACCUUACGAGAAAUCAAAGUGCUGGC